Molecule: long non-coding RNA, 1422 nt
Organism: Pseudomyrmex gracilis
Lineage: Eukaryota; Metazoa; Arthropoda; Insecta; Hymenoptera; Formicidae
Exons: 3
Source: RefSeq, a predicted model, not a curated record
UUCACGUUGGCGAGAUACGUGCGUUUUUUUUCAGCGAGUUCGCCAUGUGCGCGGUUUUUUAUGGUGUCGCGAUUUUAUUGAUUGUAGGAUUGGUUCUGUACGCGAUUUCGGUCGCGUACGAUCUGGUCUAAUGACGGACGCGCGCGCACACAUGUACGCGAUUACGAAGCGAUCACGAUACGAGGCUCCAGUUCUCUAAAAGCGGUUAUCUACUCACUCCUUUGAACGUGCCGGUUCUCGGAGUUUGCGGAUCCUCCAUCCUCGAUCGGGAUUGGCGUUGUGGACAGAGCUCCUCCCGCGCUCGGUGAUACCACGCCGUCAUCGUCGUCUGUAAAAUAAUGAUGUCUCGAGCGCUGAAAACACGACGAAACGUCGAGCGUCAGAGGAUUUCACGAGAGCACUGUCGGAAAAUCGUUUCCACAUCCGAGAACGGAAUCGCGGCGCAUUCCCGGGGAAGUUAAUGGCCCGUGAGGUACUUCAUGUGAAGCUUCUCCGCACGUUUUCGGGAGCGUCCGCGUUACCCGUCGCCGACAAUCCGGAUCGCUUCAGGUUCCCGGAAGUUGACCGUACGCACCGAGGAAACGAGGGGCGGUUACGCGGAUUCGUCGGUUUUCCGGAACGGAGUCACGGUUGGAAUUAUGCGGAUCGAUCCUUCGCCCCGACCCCUUGCGAGCGCCCGGGCGCUUCUUGGUCUCUCGCUCAAAAUGAACACGGUGCGAUGUCAAUGUAUACACACAGAUGAAGAGCCGCGGAUUACAGCUGCUAUCGGUUGGCGUGAGUCGCGCGCGAAAUCCGCUACUUGGAACGAAGCCAGCGAAGAUCCGCUCUGGAGGAGGGCGCUCAUCUAACGGUCAUCAGCUCGUAGACAAGGGUUUAUACGAGAAAAAUAACGUUCACGACGAAAGAAUACGGCGAAGAUGCGCCGAGGGAUUCGCGCGUUCUAUAAUAGAACGAUAAGUUUUUUUUUUCGCGAUUUGAAAUUGCGAGAUAAAUUUUUACAGAAGGAACGUAAUUUUACUCACAUUAAUUUUUAGUGUGCAAUAGAUCUCGCUUUAUUUGAUAACAUUUAGGAUAUGUUUAAGAGCGUUAUUUUUUUAGAAGAUUGUGUGUAAAGUGUACUUUGCAAAAAAUGUCAAUUUUAUUUAUUUAUUUAUUUAUUUAUUAGAAGCAGUAUUACAUGAAGAAUAUAUAAGUUUUCGAUUAUGACGGCGGAAGCGCAAGAAAAUUGAUUAAACGUGAUUGCAGUAAUUAUGUUCAACUUAAGACGGGAAAUGGGGACGCAAGAAAAGCCUUGUUAAUCGUUCAAUUACUGAAUUACCUUCUGUCUUAAGAAUCGCUCAUUUUCUCGGUCUUUCUGCGCCGAGAGAGAGACGUGCGGUUUAAUUAAAAUUAUUUCAAAGUAAUUUUUCUCUCGAUAUGUAA